AGGAGUUGGACACGCGUUUCUCCCCAUCCAAAACCUAGGGUAAAGAAUCAAGACUCUCCAGUUCUCUCCGCCGCUCCUUGUUUCGUACCUUCCUCCUUCCUCUCAAAAUUUCUGUCUUCUCCUCCUUUACUUUCUUAUUCUGUGAUUUCAAUCUUUAGCCUUUCUCAGUCUUUUCUCCUCUUUUCUUUCCUUUUUCCCUGUCGAAUCGCCAGAUUACUAUGAGCUAAACUAAUUGAGCUAAACUUUUCUCUUCGGGAUCUCUUCAAGCUUCUAAACAACGUCUAGACGAUUGAAGAUCCACACAAGUGUAGAUUAGUAGAUCAACUUGGAAUCUCAUUACUUGAUUCAAUGCCACCCAUUUCAAUUAUAGGGAUCUAUUGGCUAUAUGCGCCAAGCUCAGGGGUCUAUGUCCAAUUAACCCGUUCAAAUUCUAAUUCAGCUGUCUAUAAGAGCUUCUUUAGCGGCCAGAUUAAGAGCAAAUCGAAGAAAUCAAAUAGUCGGUCAGAGUUCAUUCAGUUUCUUCUCAAUCAAAAUGGCUCGUACGAAGCAAACAGCUGGCAAGUCCACCGGAGGAAAGGCUCCAAGGAAACAGCUUGCCACAAAGUAUAUAUGCUUUCUUCCUCGGAAUGAAUUGUUCUGGUUGAUAUGUUGGAUAUGGAAUGCUUUUCAUACUUGAACCGUGCUCUAGAAAGUUUUCUAUCACCAAUAGUGAUUUUUCCCGCAAAUAGAGGAAUAUGUAAUGUCAGAUAUUAGCAAUUCGUGCAUAGGUGGAGGAACUGGUAAUUGACGAAGAAAGCCUGGCUCUCUCUCAUAUCCCUCCACGCUGCAACUCCAGGCCACUUGUACCCUCUCCUCUAAAAAGAAGUUGUCAAUCCCCUCUCUCUCCUUCUUUGAUCAAUUGCAAAGCUAAAGUUUCCUUGAUUCUUUCUUUGAUAUUUUUUUUCUCCCUUUUUAUUCUUUUCCUCUUUUCUUUCCUUUUUUUUCUGAUCAAUCACUUGAUUACUAAGAGAGCUGAACUAUUUGUUUUCCAAAAGUCAUUGGAAGCUUCCAAAUCUGUAAAUGAAGCAAAGCUCCUCCUCCACCACCAUAGAUUGUCAUGUGCCAAAUUGGCGACUCUAUGACUUUUCCCCCUUCUCUUUUUUCUUUACUCUUAUGUUUUAAUGGAUAUUUAGUAUUUUUUUCCUCAAAUGCAGCCACAGUACAAAAAAGCCUAUGAUGAAAGCUCCAGUGGCACCAUCAAUUGUUUGUCGUAUUUACCAUAAUGUUCUACAAUCUGUAAUCCCACGAUUCUUCUUCCUUUACAUUUUAUUUUUUUUAAUUCCUUGUUUCUGGCACCUUUAGUUUUCCUUUGCUUGAUUUUUUGCUCUUUUUCACGCUCAUCUUGGCUUAUUUCGUGUCAUUUUCUGAAUUUAUUGCCAGGUACAAUGGAAUAAGAUGGAUUUUUCUAAUUAUCUAAAUUCACAAUAAUAGAGGAAGGAUAGCAAGGAAUAUUUACUUUCUGUAUGUUGGGUUAGUAGAAUUUCAAAUCCUGAUUCUUCAAUUUGUUCACCUUAUAUUUCUGUUUCUGUUCCUUGGCUAGGAUUAAGGAUUAAGGCCUGACAAGGUUUGUGCCCUUUCACAUGCACCGUUGCAGGUUGAAAAUUGCGUCUGCUUGGCAAAGAAGGCAAUGACAGCAUGUCAGAAUAAAUAUUAUUAGAUGUGGUGCGAUUUAAAAUUGUCACUCACAGCAAGGUCUUAGAAGUUGCACCAAAAUUUCCUUUGUAUCAUUUGAUCAAGCAAGAAAGAUAUUUCCUCCCAACUGGAAAUAGCUUAUUGCUUCUGAUGGAGUUAAUAUCACACAAUUUAUCAAGUGUUGUAUCCUAUUCGAACGAGGAAAAAAUACUACAAACAUACCAGUUGUGAACUGGAUAAAACAGCUUGUUGCAACAUAUUUAUCAGAACUAUGUGGCCUCAACAACUUGUUGGAAGCCUUUAGCUGUGAUGCGGAUCAAUGGAGCUGAAAAGAUUUAGAUUAUCACCUUCAGCUAUGACUGUAUUGGCAUAUGUAUAUAUGGCUUUUGCUAACAUCAAUGUUGCGAAACCUUGGCCUGUUGCACUUUGCUAUUAUUUUCUAAUUGGAAAAUGCAGCAUUGUUCACUAGGCUCAGUAACUAGAAUGAUAUUGUGAAAAACUGACUAAUAAGAAAGUUGAACAUUAUCGCAAAUGCUUUGGCACAUAUGUUAUGUAUAUCUUGCGAGUAUUGUAGUUUGUGCAUGUAAAGUACUUUGCCUUUGCCUACUAGGAGCUACUCUGCAGAGUUUUGAUAAGAGUUUGUUAUCUAUACAU
Non-coding RNA from Coffea arabica (coffee), 2325 nucleotides. The record is from RefSeq and is a predicted model, not a curated record. Lineage: Eukaryota; Viridiplantae; Streptophyta; Magnoliopsida; Gentianales; Rubiaceae.